GAAAGGAAAAGAAGAGAAAGGAGAGAAAGGGACGGCUGAGAUGAAAAGGAGAGAAGAGAAAAUGAGAGAUAAGGGGAAACGGAAGGGCCAAUUAGGAGAGGGGAGGGGAAGGAGCGGCCAAUGAGAAAGAGGGAAAGAAGGGGAAAGAAGAAAGGAGGAGAAUGAGGGGAACCAAACCGAUUCCCCCUUGACCCACAACCCAGUCGUGACCCAUGUGUUUCUCUGAUGAAAUUCAUCAUUUUUUUCGACGAAUUGGGCCGAUCUACCAUUCCCAAUCAUCAUCUCAACCCUUUCUCUACCAUUUCCACAUCAAAUUCAUGAAGAUUGGGUUCGAGAUUGUGGAGAAAUGUACUGGUUGGUGUGAUAGGCUUCGGGGCGGUGAUCCAUCAAAUCCAAAGGUAACUCCAUCAACAACCACCACCAAAAGGCUUCCCUCAAACUCAGGAACAAAGCUCAAGCAGGUUUGAGGGCGGUGGAGCACCGGAAGUGACGGAUUUAAGCACACCCUUUUUAGGGUUUUCGGCAGGUUCGAGGGAAAUUGAAGCUUUUCCCGACCAAAUUGGGCUUAGUCACAAGUCAUGGUAGAUUACGAGAAACCGCUUGAUAUUUUGGUUCCAUUGAGUGGUCAGGAAUCCUUGCUCUUGCUUAUUUCCAUAAGG
Pyrus x bretschneideri (Chinese white pear) is the source of this 659-nucleotide long non-coding RNA. RefSeq lists it as uncharacterized. The transcript has 2 exons. NCBI's taxonomy places the organism in Eukaryota, Viridiplantae, Streptophyta, Magnoliopsida, Rosales, Rosaceae. The record is from RefSeq and is a predicted model, not a curated record.